ACCUGGCUGGCUCAGUCAGAAGAGCAUGGGACUCUUGAUCACAGGGUUGUGAGUUCGAGCCCCACGUUAGGUG
Molecule: transfer RNA, 73 nt
Filed under: Felis catus (domestic cat)
Lineage: Eukaryota; Metazoa; Chordata; Mammalia; Carnivora; Felidae
Rfam family: tRNA
About the family: Transfer RNA (tRNA) molecules are approximately 80 nucleotides in length.
Source: Rfam by way of RNAcentral